This 198-nucleotide ribosomal RNA is filed under the name Triticum aestivum (bread wheat). RNAcentral describes it as "partial small subunit ribosomal RNA". The record is from RNAcentral. Lineage: Eukaryota; Viridiplantae; Streptophyta; Magnoliopsida; Poales; Poaceae.
AUGAACAGAUUCAAGCAGAGCCCAUGGAGUAAGGUUCAGUGCGAGAUGAUUCUAUCAUUCCUGUCCUUUGCAGAGUAUUUCCAGCCUAGGUUCUUCCUUUUGGAAUAUGUCCGGAACUUUGUUUCAUUUAACAAGGGCUGGACGUUCAGACUGACACUAGCAUCGCUCCUGGAGAUGGGGUACCAAGUGAGUGCUUGA